UCGUAGGUGGUUUGUCGCGUUGUUCGUGAAAUCUCACGGCUUAACUGUGAGCGUGCGGGCGAUACGGGCAGACUUGAGUACUGCAGGGGAGACCGGAAUUCCUGGUGUAGCGGUGGAAUGCGCAGAUAUCAGGAGGAACACCGGUGGCGAAGGCGGGUCUCUGGGCAGUAACUGACGCUGAGGAGCGAAAGCGUGGGGAGCGAACAGGAUUAGAUACCCUGGUAGUCCACGCCGUAAACGGUGGGUACUAGGUGUGGGUUUCCUUCCUUGGGAUCCGUGCCGUAGCUAACGCAUUAAGUACCCCGCCUGGGGAGUACGGCCGCAAGGCUAAAACUCAAAGAAAUUGACGGGGGCCCGCACAAGCGGCGGAGCAUGUGGAUUAAUUCGAUGCAACGCGAAGAACCUUACCUGGGUUUGACAUGCACAGGACGCCGGCAGAGAUGUCGGUUCCCUUGUGGCCUGUGUGCAGGUGGUGCAUGGCUGUCGUCAGCUCGUGUCGUGAGAUGUUGGGUUAAGUCCCGCAACGAGCGCAACCCUUGUCUCAUGUUGCCAGCGGGUAAUGCCGGGGACUCGUGAGAGACUGCCGGGGUCAACUCGGAGGAAGGUGGGGAUGACGUCAAGUCAUCAUGCCCCUUAUGUCCAGGGCUUCACACAUGCUACAAUGGCCGGUACAAAGGGCUGCGAUGCCGCGAGGUUAAGCGAAUCCUUUUAAAGCCGGUCUCAGUUCGGAUCGGGGUCUGCAACUCGACCCCGUGAAGUCGGAGUCGCUAGUAAUC
This 776-nucleotide ribosomal RNA is filed under the name uncultured bacterium. Its description in RNAcentral is "bacterial SSU rRNA". It matches the Rfam family "Bacterial small subunit ribosomal RNA", at positions 569 to 1343 of the family's 1533-position model. The record is from RNAcentral.